Molecule: ribosomal RNA, 339 nt
Filed under: Limosilactobacillus fermentum
Lineage: Bacteria; Bacillati; Bacillota; Bacilli; Lactobacillales; Lactobacillaceae
Description: bacterial SSU rRNA
Rfam family: Bacterial small subunit ribosomal RNA
Source: RNAcentral
UGAGUAACACGUAGGUAACCUGCCCAGAAGCGGGGGACAACAUUUGGAAACAGAUGCUAAUACCGCAUAACAACGUUGUUCGCAUGAACAACGCUUAAAAGAUGGCUUCUCGCUAUCACUUCUGGAUGGACCUGCGGUGCAUUAGCUUGUUGGUGGGGUAACGGCCUACCAAGGCGAUGAUGCAUAGCCGAGUUGAGAGACUGAUCGGCCACAAUGGGACUGAGACACGGCCCAUACUCCUACGGGAGGCAGCAGUAGGGAAUCUUCCACAAUGGGCGCAAGCCUGAUGGAGCAACACCGCGUGAGUGAAGAAGGGUUUCGGCUCGUAAAGCUCUGUUG